Xenopus tropicalis (tropical clawed frog) is the source of this 544-nucleotide long non-coding RNA. RefSeq lists it as uncharacterized. NCBI's taxonomy places the organism in Eukaryota, Metazoa, Chordata, Amphibia, Anura, Pipidae. The transcript is spliced from 3 exons. The record is from RefSeq and is a predicted model, not a curated record.
CCCCUGCUGAACAAGAUAUGUUCUACACUUAUAUUGAUGUCAGUCACCUGAAGAAAACUUCCCCAGCUCCCCCACCGAAUCCAAACAAUAAUGAAAUAAUUUACUCUCAGGUGAUGCCCAGCAAAUGAUCAGCUCUCCCACCCAGACCCUGCCGGCAUGUCCCCAGCAGCUUCCCCUGCCUGUAUGUAGAGCUACCUCUUCUGUAUUCUGAUGGCAGGGACACUAGGAUUCAGAGAUAGAGAUAGAGGCUCCUUUUUCAAAGUUUCUGUUUAGGAAUUAACUGGUGAGGGCAGAUUUCUGUGAAGAGGACCCCACAGUUCAGGCCCCCUUGUAGGGUUUGCUUCCUCUGUAGUUAUGAGCCUGCUAUUGAUUUUGGAUAUUGUUGUUCCCUUUAUAGGAAAACUUGUUUUUCAGUCGUUUGUAACAAAUAUAUUUUUGCUAUACACUGUAUAUUUCUUUGAAAAGUGUUAUUGUUCUUACUGUAAAUGAUAAAGACAUUAUAAACUGUGACCAUAUAAAGGCACAAGGCUGCAGGCUGAGUUAU